Syngnathus typhle (broad-nosed pipefish) is the source of this 2810-nucleotide long non-coding RNA. RefSeq lists it as uncharacterized. The record is from RefSeq and is a predicted model, not a curated record. NCBI's taxonomy places the organism in Eukaryota, Metazoa, Chordata, Actinopteri, Syngnathiformes, Syngnathidae. The transcript is spliced from 3 exons.
AGCGGGAGCUGAGCGGCGGGACCGCUCGACUCAAAGCGGCGGCGGCAUCGGCGUUCCGUGUUCGGCUGCGCCGUCCUCAUGCCGCGGAUAAAAGACGUAAUCCUGGGAGGAUCCCGAGGGGACGAUCCAGGCACCUAGCGCUGAUUACGCCGGACGAGGAGGAGGAGGGAGGAGGAGCUGCUGCUGCAUCAUCCCUCCUUUGGGUCGCCGCCAAAAAUUUGACAGUUAGGACGUAACGCUUCACAUGGGGCCAAAGUCAAACUCGCUGCAAGAGCAUGGACGUCACCGGCUGGUCGCACCAACUUAGGUCUCUGUCAGCACGACAGCAAAGAGCAAAUGUUUGCAGCCAAAGGUAUCAAAUUGCCAGUAGAGGCCACAAGAUGGCGCCAGAGCAUUACUUUUUCUAUUCAACCGGGGUGACGGCUUGUCUGAAACUCCUCUGCUCACAUCAACAUAGCGCGCUGGCAGCAAAGUGGCGCCAAAGCAAUACUUUUAUAGGAGACUUCCGAAGUCGGCUAGAGCAUCAAACGAGGGGAAAUGUCAAACGCGGCGAGGAGUCUCUGGAUACACUCUAUCACCACGUGGCUAUUUUGAUCCCAUGCGGCAGGUGGUCGGUCGGUCGGUCGGUCGGCCGCGCGUGGCGACACUCGCUUACCUCCAGAAGUGAAAGGCGUGCAGCGGGCUACACGGACUGCAAGGACUAGUGGGAGUGGGGCUCAAACUUCGGGGCGUGAGGCUGCAAGUUAAACGGAGCAAAGUGAAACGGAGAUGUUUUAGCACACACACACACACCGAAGCGCUAUCUAAAAUCGGACACGUGCACUCGGCCGAGGCGUUUGUCUCUCUUCUGGAGCCAGAUAAAUGGCUUUGACAUUGCGUCUCCUCUGUCGUACAAGAGAGCGGAGGGGAGAAAAAAAAAAAAAAAAAAGACGUCACACCGUGUCGCUGCAGUGCUGAGGUCACGCUGAGGUGAGCGGAUUUUACUGCAGUGGCUUUAGGAGCUCAUUAGCAUCAGUUUAUGCCUGCAGGAAAAUGCCUCAAAGCCUCAUUUGGCAUCUUUUGUAACAAGUUGAAGGGGUGUAACAAGUAACAACGCAAAACGUCCAAUUGGAAAACAUUCAAAGGUUUGUCAUCUUAGCAAACAAAUUAAGCCUUUUUUGGACUAAUAGCUCUCACUCUUUUUAUUGAAGAAGAUAAUAAUAAUGACCUCCAGAUGGAGUUCCUUUCCCUUUCACUGAUGAUUCAUCCACAUAUUCGCAUGCAUCCCGACCCAGUUGCUUGCAUAAGAGGAUACUGGAACUUCCCUCCAGAAACAAACAACACUCACUGGAAUUUUGACUAGGUUAGCGAAAGACUAUGACGCAGUGUCCCGUGACUCAACUGCGUCGUGAUCCAUGGACCACCUGUGCUAUGGAUACCUGCUGUUGCCGUGUCGAUACGGUCUCGCGAGAUAAUACGAUACUGCGUGUCGCAGCCUGAUUUGAACUAGUUGACCGUGCGUGUGUACGGUAAUCCUAUUAACGCGGAAAGUGAAAUAACCUUGACGGUGUGUCCGUGGAAAAACAGCCCACACAUUACAAGUGCAGAAAGAACUGCAUCCAAGAAAUAUCCUCCCCCCCCCAGCCCCCCAUUGGGGAUUAGAAACGGUGGAGACAACAGAAGGGGGACAAACGCCUCAACGAUGCCGACAAAAGGACGGCGGGGAGCGACCACCGUAGCCGCUCGCGCGCUAACACCGAGGUCGUUUGGAACGUUUACAUUGCGGCAUGGGGCAUCGCGCGCGCACACGUGCAGCAAGCACACAAACACGAGCCCGUGCAGGCAGGCAGGCAGGCAGAAGAUAAGAGACUUCCUGCUGCGGAGGCUAAAGCUAGCAAAGCAGCAUACUCACUCGAGCGUCAGACCAGGAAUUCGCAGCCGUUCCCGUUGGGCUUUCAUGGCUGCGCUUUUGCUCUAUUGUGAUCAUCAUAAGCGCUCCCUGCUUGGCUGCAACGCAUGCAUGCCGUCAGCCAGACCAGCCCCCCGCCCCCCUCCCUCCCUCUGCUCGCUCCCCCUCGCACACGGACAAAGAGCAGUCAAAACAGUCCGAUGAAACGACGAGGGCAACAAAAAAAAAAAAAAAAACACUCCCUAAAAUUAGAGGGGCUUCAAAAGAAAAAGACCCCACUCCGGGGCUUUUAGCGGUUGUUGUUUUGGUCCUUCCACCUUGAAGCUGUCAAACAAGACCCUCGGCUGCCUGCGGAGGGACAAUAGCCCCGCCCUCCCGUGCCUUCAUAAUCGACUGCGCCCCCCCCUAGCCCCCCUCUUUUGACCGCCCCCCAACAGCAAGUAACACCACCACCUGGUGACGAGGUGCAAUGACUGAUUAUUUUAGGAAAUAUUUAUUUUUUUUGUAUUCUGAUACAUCAUACUGACGUCCUAUAAAUGGGAAUCGUUUUUUUUAAAUGUGUUUUCUACACACAGUUGGGUCUCUGUAACGCUUAAAAUGGGGAUUUUUUUUUCUUCAAAUAGUGAUUGCCCCCCCCCCAACCACUCAAAAAUAAUAGUGACACUUUCAUCCACGUUCAACCAUAGCAGUUCCUCAAUCUAAAUGCAUUUGAGGCCGCCUCAUCAAAGACCUGACACCAUCGCCAUGGUUACCGAGGUCAUUGGCGGCUGCGGCAACCUGUUUGCACAAGGAAUAUUUGUCCAGGAGGUAGGUGGCACCCAAACGGUGUCGCUGGACCAAAGUCCUUUGUGAUUCAAAAUUGAUGUUCAAAAAAAAAAAAAAAAAAUGUAUGCGUAAUAGAAAGAACUACAAUUAUGGUGGA